RNAcentral lists this long non-coding RNA (348 nucleotides) under Trifolium pratense (red clover). RNAcentral's name for it is "long non-coding RNA (TPRA_LNC004995)". Lineage: Eukaryota; Viridiplantae; Streptophyta; Magnoliopsida; Fabales; Fabaceae. The record is from RNAcentral.
UGAUUUAUGGGAUGAAGAAUGAAAAAUCAAUACAAUUUUAAUGAAUGGAUGUUGCUACUUACUCUUAAUAAAGCAAGGGUCAUCAUCAUAGUGGUUAUGAGUACACUUUGUGGAGUGGAGUUGAUUUUAAUUCUCGGAGCCUUCUAACUUUUCUUCCAUAGUUAUAUUGUAUUUAAUAAGAAUAAUUGACCACUUGUAAAAUUUUAAUUUUAAUAUCUCACCACCAAAUACAAACAAUGAAUUAUUUGUCUUUCAUCAUCUAUAUUCGUAUAAAAAAUACUUGUAGUUGUCACCCAAUACAAUAAUAUAUUAUGCGAUGAUUGUCACUCUUAUUAUGGGAAACUUAUC